This 254-nucleotide ribosomal RNA is filed under the name uncultured bacterium. RNAcentral describes it as "partial 16S ribosomal RNA". It matches the Rfam family "Bacterial small subunit ribosomal RNA", at positions 524 to 776 of the family's 1533-position model. The record is from RNAcentral.
GACAGAGGGUGCAAGCGUUGUUCGGAAUUACUGGGCGUAAAGCGUGUGUAGGCGGCCAUGAAAGUCGGAUGUGAAAGCCCCGGGCUCAACCCGGGAAGUGCACUCGAUACUGCUUGGCUCGAGUCUCGGAGAGGUUGGUGGAAUUCUCGGUGUAGAGGUGAAAUUCGUAGAUAUCGAGAGGAACACCUGAGGCGAAGGCGGGUUGCUAGGCUGACACUGACGCUGAGUGCGCGAAAGCCAGGGGAGCAAACGGG